CAGGGGAUGUUUCUGCCCUCAGCUUAAGGCACUUGGAAGGGGGAAAGAAACCCGGCUGAUGUAGUAAAGGCAAAAAAAAAAAAAAAAAAAAAAAAAAAAAGCUGUCUCCAGCAGGAGGUAGGGGGAUUGGGGAGGGGGGUGGAAUCAACCACCAUGUUGUUGUUUGUUCCUUUAAUACGUCCCUUGGGAUAACAACAAACAGAGAAGAUGGCAAACUCCCAGGAAUCUGCCACCUACCCAGAAGUGGGAGAAACCGUCAAGGACAAGGACUGUCAGCAGAUCUGACUCCUUGAAAAAGGGAAGGGGCAAGGGGUUUGAGAGGAAAGAGAAAAGAAGAAAGUUGAAGAAGCAGGAAUUCCAAGGCUACCUCCAGCCCCAAACCCUAGUCAUAGGAGGUUGUCUGUUCCAGUCCAGGAAAUAGUCUGCUGCUGGAUUAUCCUAAAGCUGGAGUUCAUGCUACCUUUCACAGAAGUUUCUUCAUUUGAGGAGGACCAGUAUUCUAACAUUCACCUAGAGGUUAUGAGCCACCUCCAGAGCUAUCCCAGUGGUGCAGUGGACAAUGUUGGCCCUGAAGUCAGGAAGAUGUGAAUUCAAAUCCAGGAUCAGACAUUUACUAAAUGUGUUAUUCUGAAUGAAUGUGGACUACUUGCAUUUUUGUUUUUCUUCCCAGGUUAUUUUAACUUUCUGAAUCCAAUUCUUCUUGUGCAACAAGAGAACUGUACGGUUCUGUACAUUUAUAUUGUAUCUAGGAUAUACUAUAACAUAUUUAACAUGUAUAAGACUGCCUGCCAUCUAGGGGAAGGGGUGGAGAAAGGGAAGGGAAAAGUCGGAACAGAAGUGAGUGCAAGGGAUAAUGUUGUAAAAAAAUUAUCCCAAAAAAAAUUAAAAAAAAAUAAAAUAAAAAAAAAUUA
This is a long non-coding RNA of Antechinus flavipes (yellow-footed antechinus), 911 nucleotides long. RefSeq lists it as uncharacterized. NCBI's taxonomy places the organism in Eukaryota, Metazoa, Chordata, Mammalia, Dasyuromorphia, Dasyuridae. The record is from RefSeq and is a predicted model, not a curated record. The transcript has 3 exons.